This 135-nucleotide small nucleolar RNA is filed under the name Oryzias melastigma (Indian medaka). RNAcentral's name for it is "Small nucleolar RNA SNORA22 (ENSOMEG00000009195.1)". Lineage: Eukaryota; Metazoa; Chordata; Actinopteri; Beloniformes; Adrianichthyidae. The record is from RNAcentral.
UUGCACAGUGAACACCCAGAGAUGUCAGCGUGGCUCUCUCUGGUAUCCUUUACCUGUGCUACAGUGACUCUGGUCUUAUCCUCUGCAGUUGGAGAACUUGGUUUUCCUACAUGUAUUCAGAUGAUCAGCACAAAC